This 327-nucleotide ribosomal RNA is filed under the name uncultured eukaryote. RNAcentral describes it as "partial 18S ribosomal RNA". It matches the Rfam family "Eukaryotic small subunit ribosomal RNA", at positions 1470 to 1796 of the family's 1831-position model. The record is from RNAcentral.
CCCCUAGAUGUUCUGGGCCGCACGCGCGCUACACUGAACAGUUCAACAAGUCUUAACCUUGGCCGAUAGGUCUGGGUAAUCUUUGAACGCUGUUCGUGAUUGGGAUAGACCUUUGCAAUUAUGGGUCUUCAACGAGGAAUUCCUAGUAAACGCAAGUCAUCAGCUUGCAUUGAUUACGUCCCUGCCCUUUGUACACACCGCCCGUCGCACCUACCGAUUGAAUGGUCCGGUGAAAUCUUCGGAUCUGAGAGAUGUCUGAUUAAUUUCGGACGCCUUUUGGAAAAGUUGUUUAAACCUUACCAUUUAGAGGAAGGUGAANUCGUANCA